This 822-nucleotide long non-coding RNA is filed under the name Pan troglodytes (chimpanzee). RNAcentral describes it as "lincRNA". The record is from RNAcentral. Lineage: Eukaryota; Metazoa; Chordata; Mammalia; Primates; Hominidae.
GUGAGCUUCCCCGGCAGGAACUUACUGGGGCUGCAUCACCCUAGAAACAUGGCUUUGGGCUGUGGAAACGCUGCUGCCGUGGAAGUCUCUCCUCGCGGGGGUGGACGGGGCGCUGCGCGCCCAGCGUCCUUCUGCGGUUCUCCCAGCCCGUCGCCGCCUCCACCUCGGGGACCUUUGCGGGGAGGCCUCGGGGCACUUUCCUCCUCUCUCCCAGGCACGUCCUCGACCUCAGUUGCCACGUGCACAUGCUGGUGCCUUCCAGGCUGGAGUAUACUGGCAUGAUCAUAGAUCACUGCAGCCUCAAACUCCUGGGCUCAAGCGAUCCUCCUACCUCAGCCUCCAUAUAGCUGGUGGGAACCAAGUUUCUAACACAUGAAUGUUGGGAGACACAUUCAGACCAUCGCAGUGGCCUUAUAAAAAGAGACACAAGAGCUUGCUCUCUGCCAUGUGAGUAUACCACAAGAAGACUGUCCUCAGCAAAUCAGAAAGCGGGUGGACCCUCAUCAGACACCAGAUGUGCCUGCACCUUGAUCUUGGACUUGCCAGCCUUCAGAACAGUAAGAAAGAAAUGUGUGUUGUUUAAGCCACCCAGUCUAUGGUAACUUGCUAUAGCAGCCCACUAGGAGACCCCAAGAUAUUUAAAAACUCAUCAGCACCUGCUUUCUGCAUCUGGACCCUGAUCUUCUGGUGGGUUUACCAGUUACUUGUAGAGUGUCCCUGUGAUAGUUUUAGGUGUCAACUUGACAUGAUUGAGGGAUGCCUAGAUGGCUGGGGAAGCACUGUUUCUGAAAAGGACCAUGUUUUUGGAGGAGACUGUUUUAU